RNAcentral lists this long non-coding RNA (4561 nucleotides) under Gossypium barbadense (sea-island cotton). Its description in RNAcentral is "long non-coding RNA (GBAR_LNC001003)". The stretch from base 2651 to 2795 matches the Rfam family "MIR7502 microRNA precursor family". The record is from RNAcentral. Lineage: Eukaryota; Viridiplantae; Streptophyta; Magnoliopsida; Malvales; Malvaceae.
UUGCUUGCACCUUCAGUUGCUUCACUUCAAUUGAUAAGCGUCUCAAUAGUACAUCUAAUUUCUUACCUAGCUCACAACACUAGACCGAGAUAAGAGCCAUGGACGAAGUUAAAAAAUUGUUAUUACAAAUGUUUUUUUCCAACAAAAAAUAGUAAUACAGACCAGACAUGAUAUCACCAGUAUGAUCAAUCAAGUCCUUUAGCUCCUAAAUGUUAGCCCCUUUGAGAUACUCUUUUUUGCUUUCAAAAUCCAAGUCAAUGAGCACAAUGGGAAUUGUUGAUCAUGUUCCUUGUUGAGGGGGUCCGCUCUUUUUUUGGAGAACUUUUUGAAGUGUCGUCUGUCAAGCAACCGACCGGACUCUCAAACAGGGGAGGUGUUGUGCCUAGUCAAGCGACUGUGUUCUUAUCUACUAAUGCCAUAUAAGAGCAUGGUUUCGAAGCCCACCAACGCCAAAUACUAAGCAUUUCCUUGGUGAUGAGGCACUCCCCAAAUUCCUUGAACUUGUUGAGUUCUCCUCGGAAUUAGGAGAAAAAACCAAGGGCUAAAACCAAGCAUAGACAUCAGCUGAUUAAAUCCUCCUCCUCCUCCUCCAGGUAAUUAGUAUUAGAUAUAUUUCCAGCCUUCCUCAUUUUUGCAUGAAGCUCAUGCAGUAUUGGGUAAAUAAGAUUAGAAUGAGAAUGAGAUUUGGCACCAACCACAAACACAUGAACCUUAUUCUCUACUUCUAUCCAGCUGCAACCAGGUUGCUUCUUUAGGCCCUUAUCCUUCAUUUUCAACCUUACCUUAGCAGCAUUUCUCCAUUUUCCUUUUGAAGCAUAUAUGUUAGACAACAACAUGUAAGUGCCUGCAUUUUCUGGUUCCGUGUCUAAUAUCUUUUUCGCAACCAAUUUCCCUAAAAUCACAUCCCCAUGAACAUGACAUCCGGCAAGAAGAGCUUCCCAAACGGAUACAGAUGGUUUAAUCCCAAGCUGCACAAUGAAUUCAAAAGCCUCCUUGAGCUUCCCUGCUCGACUAUAGAGAUCAACCAAGCAUGCAUAGUGAUCGUCUCUAACCUGAAUGGACUUGUCUCUCACGAGCUCAUCAAAGUACCUUAGUCCUUCCUCAAGCAUACCGGAAUGACUGCAUGCAGAGAGCAAAGCCACAUAGGUAGCAUCAUUAGGUUUAAAACGUAAAUCGGACAUUUUUUUGAACAAACUGAUAGCAUCUUCACCACACCCGUGAUGUGCAUAAGCUGCAAUCAUACCAUUCCAUGAGACCACAUCCCUCUGGCUAAUUAAUCCAUCAUCAAACAUUCUCCUAGCUAUAUUUAAUUCCCCACAUUUGGAAUACAUGUUAAUAAGUGCAGAUACAACGAUUUCGUUACGCCGAUAAACUGUUUUCACAAUUGUCUGAUGAACUUCUUGUCCCUCAACAAGGCCAGCUAAAUUACUACAUGCACUCAAAACACUUACAAAAGUUCCCUCAUUAGGCUUUACCCUGUCUUCUGCCAACAUUUUCGCGAAAAUCUUCAAUGCUUCUUCACUUUGUUCACUUUGAACAUAUCCCGUGAUCAUCGUGGUCCAAGAAACCACGUUCUUACAUGGCAUCUCAUUAAACAAUCUCUCAGCUCUCCUUAAUUCCCCAUUCUGAAUAAACCCUGUGAUCAUCCCAUUCCAAGAAGACAAAUCCCUCGUCGGCAUCCUCUCAAACAAAUCAAAAGCCUCAUCCAAUUUCAUAUUCUGUGCAUAGCCAGUAAUCAUCGCAUUCCAGGACACCACAUUCCUCUCUGGCAUCCUAGCGAAAACUUUUCUAGCCUCAUCAACCCUCCCAUUCUUUGCCAACCCCGUGACCAUCGCAGUCCACGAAAUGACAUCCCUUUUAGGCAUCUUAUCAAACAAUGCCCUUGCAUCCUCAACUCUACCGCAUUGCACCAAAGCAGUCAACAUCGUAUUCCAGGAAACCACAUUUCUUUCAGGCAUUUCAUCAAACACUUCAAAAGCCUUAUCGACCAUCCCAUUUUGCAUGUACCCAUCAACCAUAGUAUUCCAAGAUACAACAUUUUUAACCGGCAUUUCCGCAAACAACCUCUCGGCAUCCACAAUUCGAUCUGAUCUUAUAUACCCAUUUAGCAUCGCAGUCCACGUUACUACAUUCUUCCUGGAAUCGACUCUAUCGAACAGUUUCCUAGCUUCAUCAAUUAACCCAAUCCUGAUAUACCCAGAUAUCAAUGCAGUCCAAGUGAUUACAUCUUUAUCUCUCUCACACAAAUUAUCGAACAGUUCCCGUGCUUGGCUUAAUUUGCCUUCUUUACUUAGAUUAGUGAUCAGCCAAUUGGAUCGUGCCACACUUGAACUAACACUGUAAUCUAUACUGGUUAUCGUAGUUUUGCAUUUCACUGAAAUAACUGGUCGGGGUAGGUUUAAACUUCGAAGAACGGUGAAUUUAUUAAAAUAUCUGAAUGUGAUUAAUGCUCGAGAAAUAAUCAACAUUUCUUUUCUCAGGCACUAAACAGAUCCAAUUGAAAAGAUUAAAAUACCACGGAUAUAGGUUGGGUAAAAUUAGAAUGGAGUCCCUCUAAGGAGUCAAAUUAUAUUUUACUCCCUUUAUUAAGAAAAAAAGAUAAAUUAGUCUUGUAUGUUAAUGUUAGAUCAAAUAGUAAAUUGAUUCUUUCUGUUAAAAUUUUUAUCCAUUUUUACUAAUAAGAACCGAUGUAGUUAACGAAAUAACUAAAUAGUUACAAGCGAUGUAUCUCAUGUAUCUCAUGCUAAUGUAUGGAGAUCAAAUUUCAACAGUAAAAAUGAAUAAAAUUUUUAACAAAAAAAUCAAUUUAUUCUCUCAUAUAAUAUACAGGGACUAAUUUAUCAAUUUUUUAAAUUUAAAAAAUAAAAUACAAUCUAACUAUUAAUAUAAUAACCUUCGUAGCACUUCUACCUCAAAACUGAAAACAUGAUUUCAGAGUUGUUCAUUUAUUUUUAUAAAUAUAGUUUUUAUUUAUUUAUUUUUACAUGUAAAUAUGUAGUUUUUGGUAUAAUGUUAAUUUUAGCCCUCAAUUUUUAUUUCUUUUGUUAAGUUAGUCCCUUUUUUUUAACAAUCUCAUUAGGAUAAUACGGUUCAAGACACUCAAACUCACGUUCUCCUAUAUUGACAACAAUACCCAUGUCAAUUUAGUAUGGCAGCCUACGUGGUAGACCAUAUGUACUUCAUGUUGACAUGUCACUAUUUAUCUUAUAUGUUAUUUCAAAACAUAAUUUAAAAUAUUAAAAAUAUUAAAAAAAUAGAAAUUAUAAAAUGUUCAUAAAAUUCAAAAAAAAACAUGAAGUACAAAUAAAUUACCAUGCAAGAUGCUAUGUUUAAAAUUUUAACAUUUUAAUUAAUAUUUUUAUUAAAAAAUAAUUUAACUCUUUGUGAAAAUUUAAUGAUUAAAUUUGACUCUUUUUAAAAUGUUAAAGACCAAAUUUAACUCAAGAGAAAAUAAAUACUAAAUUGACAAAAAUUAUAAAUAUUAAAAACUAAAUUUAUUAUAAAUUUUUUAAGGGUAAAUUCCCUAAUUGGUGACGCAAUUUUUUGAACACUUUUAUUUAGAUUAUCCAUAUAAAAAUACUUGACUGUAGACACUACAUAUUUUUAACAUUCUUUUUUUUCCUCCAGUACUGUUCAUCAUCUUCUUCCCUUCCGCCCAACCCCUACUUCCACCAUUCUUUCUUCCUUUGCUCCUUUCUUCUUCCAUCUUAAAGAAAAGGAUAAAUCUAUGAAAAGGAGUACAACAUGGUGGAAGAUAGGGGUUAAGACCUGAACUCUGGACCAAAGAAGAAGAAGCAAAACUUUCGCAUUAUUCUCCACAAAAUCAUUCGACCACAACUGAUUUUUUACCAUAAAAAAAAAACAGGACAACUUUAUGUUAUGUUUUACACCAAGAAUCUGAUAAUGAAGCAACAAAAAUCGAAUUGACUGAUGAUCAUAACUUGCCAGGCCCAGCUAAUUAAAAGCUUUAGAAUUACCUCUGCAAGAACAGUAAGUGUGGGGUGGAUUUAACUUCAACCAAUGGCCUGAAACUCGAAAACAGGCUUGAAUUUGUCAUUUCAACUUGUGUUAUCUCAAACAUUGACAUACACUCCAAAACCCCACUAGUUUAACCAUAUCCAAACUGCUUAAUACAUAUAAAAAUACUACAAAUUAUCCUAACAUAUAUAAAACAAAAUGGUUGUAACUGUUAGGAUCAUUUUGAUUCCAGAAAACAAGAAAGAUUUAUCGUUACCAAACAGACUGCUUGAGAGACUAAAACAUCGCUUUGAAAAUGCAGUGAGGGGACAAAAACAAACAAACACAUGAAGCCUGAUGAAGAGUAUCCUUGGAACAAGGUUUAAUGGUGGAGACAAGCCACAUAAGCCAUGAGUGAUAUGUUGGAGAAGCUGUGGUGAGAAAUGGGUGUUCUGUGGUAAGAAUAAUGCGAAAGUUUUGGUUCCUCUUCUUUGGUCCAGAGUUCAGGUCUUUACCUCUAUCUUCUUCCAUGCUAUACUCCAUUUUCAUAGGUUUAUCAUUUUCUUAAUGAUGAAAGAAGAAGGGAUCAAAGGAAGAAAGAAUG